GAUGAACGCUGGCGGCGUGCCUAAUACAUGCAAGUCGAACGGAAGGUAGCAAUACCUUUAGUGGCGAACGGGUGAGUAACGCGUUGGUGACCUGCCCCGAAGCGUGGGAUAACAGUCCGAAAGGAUUGCUAAUACCGCAUGUGGUCCAAGAGACUAGAGGCUUAUGGACUAAAGGAGACAUUCACUUCGGGAGGGGCCUGCGUCCCAUCAGCUAGUUGGUAGGGUAACGGCCUACCAAGGCGAUGACGGGUAGGGGACCUGAGAGGGUGGCCCCCCACAAUGGAACUGAAACACGGUCCAUACACCUACGGGUGGCAGCAGUAGGGAAUAUUGCAAAAUGGGCGCAAGCCCGAUGCAGCAACGCCGCGUGGGCGAUGAAGGCCUUCGGGUCGUAAAGCUC
RNAcentral lists this ribosomal RNA (400 nucleotides) under uncultured bacterium. Its description in RNAcentral is "bacterial SSU rRNA". It matches the Rfam family "Bacterial small subunit ribosomal RNA", at positions 28 to 433 of the family's 1533-position model. The record is from RNAcentral.